Molecule: ribosomal RNA, 870 nt
Filed under: uncultured Chroococcales cyanobacterium
Lineage: Bacteria; Bacillati; Cyanobacteriota; Cyanophyceae; Chroococcales
Description: bacterial SSU rRNA
Rfam family: Bacterial small subunit ribosomal RNA
Source: RNAcentral
UGAUCCUGGCUCAGGAUGAACGCUGGCGGUCUGCUUAACACAUGCAAGUCGAACGAGCACUUCGGUGCUAGUGGCGGACGGGUGAGUAACACGUGAGAAUCUACCCUCAGGAGGGGGAUAACGGCUGGAAACGGCCGCUAAUACCCCAUAUGCCGCAAGGUGAAAUCUUUUUUGGCCUGAGGAUGAGCUCGCGGUGGAUUAGCUAGUUGGUGGGGUAAUGGCCUACCAAGGCGACGAUCCAUAGCUGGUCUGAGAGGAUGAUCAGCCACACUGGGACUGAGACACGGCCCAGACUCCUACGGGAGGCAGCAGUGGGGAAUUUUCCGCAAUGGGCGAAAGCCUGACGGAGCAAGACCGCGUGAGGGAUGAAGGCCUUUGGGUUGUAAACCUCUUUUCUCAGGGAAGAACACAAUGACGGUACCUGAGGAAUAAGCCUCGGCUAACUCCGUGCCAGCAGCCGCGGUAAUACGUAGGGGGCGAGCGUUGCCCGAAUUUACUGGGCGUAAAGCGCACGUAGGCGGCUCCGUAAGUCUGGUGUGAAAUCUCACGGCUCAACCGGGAGGCUGCACCGGAUACUGCGGAGCUCGAGGACGGGAGAGGAGAUUGGAAUUCCCGGUGUAGCGGUGAAAUGCAUUGAUAUCGGGAGGAACACCAGUGGCGAAGGCGGAUCUCUGGCCCGUUGCUGACGCUGAGGUGCGAAAGCUGGGGGAGCGAAAGGGAUUAGAUACCCCCGUAGUCCCAGCCCUAAACGAUGGGCGCUAGAUGUUGGGGGAUUACCCCUCGGCGCCGCAGCUAACGCAUUAAGCGCCCCGCCUGGGGAGUACGGCCGCAAGGUUGAAACUCAAAUGAAUUGACGGGGGAUCAAACUCU